Molecule: ribosomal RNA, 253 nt
Filed under: uncultured bacterium
Lineage: Bacteria
Description: partial 16S ribosomal RNA
Rfam family: Bacterial small subunit ribosomal RNA
Source: RNAcentral
UACGGAGGGUGCGAGCGUUGUCCGGAAUCACUGGGCGUAAAGGGCGCGUAGGCGGCCUGAUAAGUAGGGGGUGAAAUCCUGCGGCUUAACCGCAGGGCUGCCUUCUAAACUGUCAGGCUCGAGCACAGUAGAGGCAGGUGGAAUUCCCGGUGUAGCGGUGGAAUGCGUAGAGAUCCGGAAGAACACCGGUGGCGAAGGCGGCCUGCUGGGCAGUUGCUGACACUGAGGCGCGACAGCGUGGGGAGCAAACAGG